ACUUGUUGCAGAGCAACAGAAUUUGGCCCACAGGCUGUACUCUGGCCAGCCCUGUCAUAGAAUCCCAGAAUGAAUCCCCAUUUAGACUGCCAUGCAAUCAGAUCAUGGGGAAUCCUCCUCUCCUCUGUUUAGUGUGGAGGAGCGCCAUGUGAAUUCUGCAGACUCUCUUGACCAUGUUUGACCUUAUCUACAGAUAUGCAUUUAUAAGAUGAGAACUGCAGAAUACUGUUGCACACCAAGAAAAAGAAUUAAGUUUAGAAUUCAAGCUAGGUACAGUGGGGAGCAAUUAAAAUAGGGAAGAGACCGAGAAAGAGAGGUGGACAAUGGCCAGUAGUUUUGUUAAGUAUAAGCAGAUGUGCAAGACGGGAUUGUGUGGCAGCAUUCUCAGUAUUGUCAAGCAAAGACACAAGGAAAUGUUAAGGUAGGGGUGCAGAGGAGAGGCCCUAAUAUUCUAGCAAGCCUGUUUCCCUUCAACAGCCCCCUUUCUCCCUUCCUGUUGUUGCCAUAUCUCUGUUCUUACAAAAUAUCUAGCAGUCUCUUCAGACUGUCCUACUUAGAGAGUAACUUACUGUAGGUUUUGAUACUAUGAUAUGGGUCUGUUCCUGUUGGAUAGUCGGGGAGGAAGGAGAAGACUUCUGACCACCUGUGGUUAUAAACACUCCCUUGGUACUUCUCCCAAAACUGGGGAUUUGUUCUGAUACACUUAACAAAAUUUCCUCUUAAUGUUGUGCUUUGGAGGCUUUUGGUCUCUACUUCAGAGGUGGCUGCAUUUCAUUUGCCAGAAGCUGGGAAUCGGUGACAGGAGAUGGACCACUUGAUGUUUUACGUGUUCUGUUCAUUCCCUCUGAAGCACCUGGCAUUGGCCACUGUUGGAAGACAGGAUACUGGGCUAGAUGGACCAUUGAUCUGACCCAGUAUGACUGUUUUUAUGUCACAACUGUAGCUUGUGAUCUUUGUAGAUAAGGCACUAUGAAGAGUCAGAUUUUAAAUGGUUCUCCUGGGAGUCUUGUUUACCUCGACCAAUCUUUAUAAUAUGCCUUCCCCACUCUAAUGCACUCACAACUGAAAGAAACAAUCUGUCCCCAGUUCAAACCUCUGCAGAAUACUGACUUGUCUGGUUACCUCAGCAUCUCGAUGCUGAUAAGUCUCGUUCACUGUUCGCAGUCAUGUCCAGGUCCCUUUCCUGAGAGGUUACAAUUAAUGUGGAAUCCAGCAGUGUGUCUCAAUAGUUCAGUCUAUUCCUUCCAAUAUGAGUUACCUCAUUUGUCAAUUCUGAAUUUCAUCUAUCAAACUGCCCAUUCGCUUAACUUUGUUUAGGUCCCUCUGAAGUUUUUCUCAGUCUUUCGUGAUCUUGACUAACCAGCGUAACUUUCUCAUCUGACACCCUACUUCUGUAAACCCUUUUCCAGAUCAUUGAGAUGUGUAUAUAAUCCAUUAAUCCUAGUACAGAACCUUGGUGUGCCCCGAGGUUAACCUCUUGUCAUGUUGAAAACUGACCAAUUGUUCCUGCUCUUCAUUUUCGUAGCCAAUUUCUAUUCCUUGACAGUACUUUAUCUUGCCCUGGGAUUACUGUUUCUAAUAGCUUCUUUUUUUUUUUGAAAAUCCAAAUAUGCUGUCAGCCAGUUCUCUUCUAUCCACUGUUUUGUGGGCAUGCUUUACAAUUCCAGUAGAUUAGAGAGAGGUCUUCCUCUACAGAAGGUGCACUAGUUUGCACCUAUGAUGUGUUGAGAUGAAUGUUCAAUAAAAAGCUAAUAACUGAAAACAGAGUUGUAUAAAACAAUUGUUUACAGUACAAAUUGUUUGCUUGUAUAAUUAUGAAGUGACAAAUGCAAAAGGUCAGCAGUUUCCUGGUAACGAAAUAAAGUUCACUGGUUUGUGAUUCCCAGGAUCAGCCCAGUGCUCCUUUUAAGACAGGUUUAUCACUUUUGGGGAGGUUUGUGGGGGUCCUCUGGUAGAAUAGCUGAUUUUAGUGAGACUUCAUAUUUUUUGUUAGCUCAGCACUUCACUUCCUUCAGAACUCUUGGAUGUCUGCCAGUUGUUGCUUUUUAAGGCCCUUUGCUCCUGAAGUCAAUGGGCUCUGAAUCAAGUCCUAACUUAUCUUUGCCAUUUAUACGGAGGGGAGAGGAAGGAGUUGGGUUCAGGUGCAGUACUUUUCUUCUGAUCUAUUCAGAGAUCCCCACCAGCAAUUCGAAACUGACAUGAUUGAUGGAUUUCACUACUACUGAUGGGGUUCUCACUAGUAGCUGUGAAACCGACCAGUCUUCAGAAAGUCCUUUCCAGUAUACCAAUGAUACGUGCAACAUUGACUCCCUGCCCUUCUCUCUCUCCGUGAGUCCCCCCCAAAAAACCCCAACCAAUAAAAAAUUACCCCGAAACAAAUUAACAUGAGGGGAAAGUACAUUAAUUAACAAACCCUGAACUCAAACCCUACCCAUGCAGAGUUUUUACACCAGAAAUGGAGAAGUGCCAGAGACUCCACGAAAUACGCUGGGGACCUUGCUACUGCUAUAGAUUUUUGUGUGGAACGUGCUCAGAUACUGUGUUAACAGGUUGCAGAAUAAAACCCUAGGAGUCUUUUGCUCUUCUGAUUCAGUUCUUGGCAAAACGAUGUGUUGCAGCAGAGGCACUGGAAAUAUUUUUAGAUUCAGGAGGACAAUACUGCAUUGACUUUCAUUGGGAAGGUGGGCUUUGCAUUCAUAUGGGGUAGGAACUUGAUUUUUUUUUUUUUUUUUUUUUUUUUUUUGAAGUGAAAGACUAAAUUCUGCUAUACUAGAAUAUGGUCUCUCAGCUCUCCAGAGAAAGCUCCCUGUGGGAUUAUUACCAGCCUCGGAAUGUCUGACAGAUCUCUGGGAGAAGAAAAGGAAGAUAAUAUAUGUGAGAAUCUUGCUUGUGCCUCCUGGAAGAGGGAGAAGAACAAGGGAGUGGAGGAAAGGUCUCCUUGCAAAGAGAGGAGAAAGCAUUGACAAUGGACCGUAUUGAGGGCAGUCGGGAGAUGCAGAAACAGCUGAUGGAGUUGAUGCAGAAGUAGGCAGUCCUGCUAGAGAACAUUGUAGUACAAUUGUUCCUGCCCAGUAUCUGCACCUCCACGCCAACCCAGCCAUGUCCUGCAGCCCACUGAGAGCAAUGCAUACUGAGAACAGUGGUAUCCUUCCCGAAGUUUCAGCCACAGGCACCUCUCUCCACACCCCAAGUCAGGGAGAUCAGUGAAUACUGGAACCCUACCUUCACCCCAGCUACAAGUGAUGGAUUAUUUUCUUGCCAUUCUACAUCUUACGGCAAGGACAGCAGUUAAACCCUGGUCCAACCCAUGUUUGUGACCAAAAUAGCACAGAUAUGUGUAUUAAGCAUUUAGGCAUGUGUGUCACAUCAGUACUAUUAUGUUCCAUAAAGUUUUCACUGUUUUAUGUGUUUUAUGUCCUAUUGCUUUGAAGUUUGCACUGCGUUCAAUAAAAGUUUUAUUAUUUGCACUA
This is a long non-coding RNA of Chelonia mydas (Green sea turtle), 3470 nucleotides long. RefSeq lists it as uncharacterized. The transcript has 2 exons. Lineage: Eukaryota; Metazoa; Chordata; Testudines; Cheloniidae. The record is from RefSeq and is a predicted model, not a curated record.